AUCAACUUUCGAUGGUAGGAUAGAGGCCUACCAUGGUGGUAACGGGUAACGGGGUGUUAGGGCACGACACCGGAGAGGGAGCCUAAGAAACGGCUACCACAUCCAAGGAUGGCAGCAGGCGCGCAAAUUACCCAAUCCCGACACGGGGAGGUAGUGACAAUAAAUAACAAUACGGGGUUCUUUCGGAUUUCGUAAUUGGAAUGAGUACAAUUUAAAUCUCUUAACGAGGAACAAUUAGAGGGCAAGUCUGGUGCCAGCAGCCGCGGUAAUUCCAGCUCCAAUAGCGUAUAUUAAAGUUGCUGCAGUUAAAAAGCUCGUAGUUGAAUUUCGGGACCAAUAUGUCGGUCGUGCCUCGGUACGUACUGGCAUCGUUGGUUUCUCCCUUCUGAAGAACCAUGAUGUCAUUUAUUUGGUGUCGUGGGGAAUCAGGACUGUUACUUUGAAAAAAUUAGAGUGUUUAAAGCAGGCUCACGCUUGAAUACAUUAGCAUGGAAUAAUGAAAUAGGACGUUUGAUUCUAUUUUGUUGGUUUCUAGGAUCGACGUAAUGAUUAAUAGGGAUAGUUGGGGGCAUUAGUAUUCAAUUGUCAGAGGUGAAAUUCUUGGAUUUAUUGAAGACUAACCACUGCGAAAGCAUUUGCCAAGGAUGUUUUCAUUAAUCAAGAACGAAAGUUAGGGGAUCGAAGACGAUCAGAUACCGUCGUAGUCUUAACCAUAAACUAUGCCGACUAGGGAUCGGAUGAUGUCAAUUUUUUAAUGACUCAUUCGGCGCCUUACGGGAAACCAAAGUGUUUGGGUUC
This 798-nucleotide ribosomal RNA is filed under the name uncultured Glomus. RNAcentral's name for it is "SSU rRNA". It matches the Rfam family "Eukaryotic small subunit ribosomal RNA", at positions 314 to 1114 of the family's 1831-position model. Lineage: Eukaryota; Fungi; Glomeromycota; Glomeromycetes; Glomerales; Glomeraceae. The record is from RNAcentral.